RNAcentral lists this small RNA (28 nucleotides) under Bombyx mori (domestic silkworm). RNAcentral describes it as "ovarian small RNA-27635". Lineage: Eukaryota; Metazoa; Arthropoda; Insecta; Lepidoptera; Bombycidae. The record is from RNAcentral.
UCCGUGUCGACAUGGCCGAGUUCCGAAC